GUUCCAGGUGGGCGCUCUUCUCCACGUUGUUCAGGUAGAAGCUGGUCUCCUUCUUGGCCUGAGAGACUUCGGCCCGGAGUCUCUGCUGCAGCACCGUCUGCUCAUAGGCCAGCCGCUCGCUCAGUUCCAGGCAGGGAACAAAGUGGGGAGCCAGGGAGGGAACCAGGUGGUACCUUGAUGUUCCAGAGGUCAGAGAAGAACCUCUGGCGUUUCUUGGUACCCAUCGGCGUGUUGUGCAGCGACAGCGCCACCCGCUUCGCCACCUGCUUGUCCCUGAACUCCACCCAACCUUCGGUGAAGUCGCACCUCCUGGAGCCGGACUUCUUCUUCUUCCUCCGCACCUGGCGGUCUGCGGGAUCAACGCAGCCAGUGUGUGUGUGUAGUGUGUGUAGGUGUGUGUAGUGUGUGUGUGUGUCGUACCCUCUGGCUGCAGGAAAAUGCGUCCGAUCUCUCCGUAGGCUGACAGCAGGUUCCUCAG
Xiphophorus hellerii (green swordtail) is the source of this 478-nucleotide long non-coding RNA. RefSeq lists it as uncharacterized. The transcript has 3 exons. Lineage: Eukaryota; Metazoa; Chordata; Actinopteri; Cyprinodontiformes; Poeciliidae. The record is from RefSeq and is a predicted model, not a curated record.